UGGGAAUCAGGUCACUGCAGUAGGUA
RNAcentral lists this non-coding RNA (26 nucleotides) under Homo sapiens (human). The record is from RNAcentral. Lineage: Eukaryota; Metazoa; Chordata; Mammalia; Primates; Hominidae.